Long non-coding RNA from Oncorhynchus gorbuscha (pink salmon), 349 nucleotides. RefSeq lists it as uncharacterized. NCBI's taxonomy places the organism in Eukaryota, Metazoa, Chordata, Actinopteri, Salmoniformes, Salmonidae. The transcript has 3 exons. The record is from RefSeq and is a predicted model, not a curated record.
GUUUACGACCAGCAUAUGCAGGAAAGACGGACAGAUUGUCUACAGCCUCUGAUGUGUUCUGGUCAUUUUACCCGAUCCUGGAUCAGACUCUUGGCUCAGGGCCACCAUCUCUGGUUCUGCAGUACUCAAGGACAUGUCAGACCCUGGUCACCGCAACACACAUACUGCCUCAGGCAGUUGCGAGAUGAGGGGGGUCUUUGGGAUGGGGAAACCAAGAGACCCUACAACCUGGUUGAGAGGUGUCAGCCCCCAGCAGCAUCCCACUCCAGGCAGAUACCAGCUCCAGUUUGCCAUCCUGCAGCAGCAGAAGUUCCAGUCCCUCCAACUGUUGGGCCAGAGCCACACCCUC